RNAcentral lists this ribosomal RNA (1900 nucleotides) under Salmonella enterica subsp. diarizonae serovar 61:k:1,5,(7). RNAcentral describes it as "partial 23S ribosomal RNA". It matches the Rfam family "Bacterial large subunit ribosomal RNA", at positions 1059 to 2925 of the family's 2925-position model. The record is from RNAcentral. Lineage: Bacteria; Pseudomonadati; Pseudomonadota; Gammaproteobacteria; Enterobacterales; Enterobacteriaceae.
UUAAGUGGGAAACGAUGUGGGAAGGCCCAGACAGCCAGGAUGUUGGCUUAGAAGCAGCCAUCAUUUAAAGAAAGCGUAAUAGCUCACUGGUCGAGUCGGCCUGCGCGGAAGAUGUAACGGGGCUAAACCAUGCACCGAAGCUGCGGCAGCGACACUGUGUGUUGUUGGGUAGGGGAGCGUUCUGUAAGCCGUUGAAGGUAUCCUGUGAGGGGUGCUGGAGGUAUCAGAAGUGCGAAUGCUGACAUAAGUAACGAUAAAGCGGGUGAAAAGCCCGCUCGCCGGAAGACCAAGGGUUCCUGUCCAACGUUAAUCGGGGCAGGGUGAGUCGACCCCUAAGGCGAGGCCGAAAGGCGUAGUCGAUGGGAAACGGGUUAAUAUUCCCGUACUUGGUGUUACUGCGAAGGGGGGACGGAGAAGGCUAUGUUGGCCGGGCGACGGUUGUCCCGGUUUAAGCGUGUAGGUGUGUGUUCCAGGUAAAUCCGGUUCACUUUAACACUGAGGCGUGAUGACGAGGCACCACGGUGCUGAAGCAACAAAUGCCCUGCUUCCAGGAAAAGCCUCUAAGCAUCAGGUAACAUCAAAUCGUACCCCAAACCGACACAGGUGGUCAGGUAGAGAAUACCAAGGCGCUUGAGAGAACUCGGGUGAAGGAACUAGGCAAAAUGGUGCCGUAACUUCGGGAGAAGGCACGCUGACACGUAGGUGAAGUGAUUUACUCAUGGAGCUGAAGUCAGUCGAAGAUACCAGCUGGCUGCAACUGUUUAUUAAAAACACAGCACUGUGCAAACACGAAAGUGGACGUAUACGGUGUGACGCCUGCCCGGUGCCGGAAGGUUAAUUGAUGGGGUCAGCGCAAGCGAAGCUCCUGAUCGAAGCCCCGGUAAACGGCGGCCGUAACUAUAACGGUCCUAAGGUAGCGAAAUUCCUUGUCGGGUAAGUUCCGACCUGCACGAAUGGCGUAAUGAUGGCCAGGCUGUCUCCACCCGAGACUCAGUGAAAUUGAACUCGCUGUGAAGAUGCAGUGUACCCGCGGCAAGACGGAAAGACCCCGUGAACCUUUACUAUAGCUUGACACUGAACAUUGAGCCUUGAUGUGUAGGAUAGGUGGGAGGCUUUGAAGCGUGGACGCCAGUCUGCGUGGAGCCGACCUUGAAAUACCACCCUUUAAUGUUUGAUGUUCUAACGUGGACCCGUAAUCCGGGUUGCGGACAGUGUCUGGUGGGUAGUUUGACUGGGGCGGUCUCCUCCUAAAGAGUAACGGAGGAGCACGAAGGUUGGCUAAUCCUGGUCGGACAUCAGGAGGUUAGUGCAAUGGCAUAAGCCAGCUUGACUGCGAGCGUGACGGCGCGAGCAGGUGCGAAAGCAGGUCAUAGUGAUCCGGUGGUUCUGAAUGGAAGGGCCAUCGCUCAACGGAUAAAAGGUACUCCGGGGAUAACAGGCUGAUACCGCCCAAGAGUUCAUAUCGACGGCGGUGUUUGGCACCUCGAUGUCGGCUCAUCACAUCCUGGGGCUGAAGUAGGUCCCAAGGGUAUGGCUGUUCGCCAUUUAAAGUGGUACGCGAGCUGGGUUUAGAACGUCGUGAGACAGUUCGGUCCCUAUCUGCCGUGGGCGCUGGAAGACUGAGGGGGGCUGCUCCUAGUACGAGAGGACCGGAGUGGACGCAUCACUGGUGUUCGGGUUGUCAUGCCAAUGGCACUGCCCGGUAGCUAAAUGCGGAAAAGAUAAGUGCUGAAAGCAUCUAAGCACGAAACUUGCCCCGAGAUGAGUCUUCCCUGAGACCUUGAGUCUCCUGAAGGAACGUUAAAGACGAUGACGUUGAUAGGCCGGGUGUGUAAGCGCAGCGAUGCGUUGAGCUAACCGGUACUAAUGAACCGUGAGGCUUAACCUUACAACGCCGAAG